UAGGGAAUCUUCCGCAAUGGACGAAAGUCUGACGGAGCAACGCCGCGUGAGUGAAGAAGGAUUUCGGUUCGUAAAACUCUGUUGUUAGGGAAGAAAAAAUGUAUAGUAACUAUAUACAAAAGAGACGGUACCUAACCAGAAAGCCACGGCUAACUACGUGCCAGCAGCCGCGGUAAUACGUAGGUGGCAAGCGUUGUCCGGAAUUAUUGGGCGUAAAGCGCGCGCAGGUGGUUUAGAAAGUCUGAUGUGAAAGCCCACGGCUCAACCGUGGAAGGUCAUUGGAAACUAAUAAACUUGAGUGCAGGAGAGAAAAGUGGAAUUCCUAGUGUAGCGGUGAAAUGCGUAGAGAUUAGGAGGAACACCGGUGGCGAAAGCGGCUUUUUGGCCUGCAACUGACACUGAGGCGCGAAAGCGUGGGGAGCAAACAGG
Molecule: ribosomal RNA, 429 nt
Filed under: Verrucomicrobiota bacterium
Lineage: Bacteria; Pseudomonadati; Verrucomicrobiota
Description: Verrucomicrobia bacterium partial 16S ribosomal RNA
Rfam family: Bacterial small subunit ribosomal RNA
Source: RNAcentral